AAUGAACGCUGGUGGCAGACCUAACACAUGCAAGUCGAACGAUUUAUAGAAACUUCGGUUUUUGUAAAGAGUGGCAAACGGGUGAGUAAUGCAUGGGAAUCUACCUAGAAGUUUGGGAUAACUAUUAGAAAUAGUAGCUAAUACCGGAUACACCCUGAGGGGGAAAGUUGACUUUAUGUCUUCGCUUUUAGAUGAGCCCAUGUUAAAUUAGUUAGUUGGUGGGGUAAUGGCCUACCAAGACGAUGAUUUAUAGCUGGUCUUAGAGGAUGAUCAGCCACACUGGAAUUGAGAUACGGUUCAGACUCCUACGGGGAGGCAGCAGUGGGGAAUAUUGGACAAUGGGCGAAGCCUGAUCCAGAUCCCGUGAGUGAUGAAGGUUAGGUUGUAAAACUC
RNAcentral lists this ribosomal RNA (393 nucleotides) under uncultured bacterium. RNAcentral describes it as "bacterial SSU rRNA". It matches the Rfam family "Bacterial small subunit ribosomal RNA", at positions 29 to 433 of the family's 1533-position model. The record is from RNAcentral.